CCUGAGUAGAGUGGCGCACGGGUGAGUAAUGCAUCGGAACGUGUCCUGUAGUGGGGGAUAACCUAGCGAAAGCUAGGCUAAUACCGCAUACGUCCUACGGGAGAAAGCAGGGGAUCUUCGGACCUUGCGCUAUUGGAUGAGCCCAAGUCAGAUUAGCUAGUUGGUGAGGUAAUGGCUCACCAAGGCGACGAUCUGUAGCUGGUCUGAGAGGAUGAUCAGCCACACUGGGACUGAGACACGGCCCAGACUCC
This 251-nucleotide ribosomal RNA is filed under the name uncultured bacterium. RNAcentral describes it as "partial 16S ribosomal RNA". It matches the Rfam family "Bacterial small subunit ribosomal RNA", at positions 85 to 339 of the family's 1533-position model. The record is from RNAcentral.